RNAcentral lists this long non-coding RNA (447 nucleotides) under Homo sapiens (human). RNAcentral describes it as "non-protein coding LINC02323:17". The record is from RNAcentral. Lineage: Eukaryota; Metazoa; Chordata; Mammalia; Primates; Hominidae.
GACCAAGUCCCACUUGCUGUUCUGCCAGGGAGCCUGAUUUUGGCACUGGUGUAUUUCCAGAACCAAGGCUCAGGACCCUAUGGGAUUGCACAGGUCGCAGCCCAAGCGCAGUACUUGCGCACAGGUCCCAGCCCCUUCCCUCUCUGGGACUUGUCUUCUGGCCCCUCACUCCUGCGAUGAGCUUUUCUUUCAGCUGGUGAAAGGCCGCAGACUUCGAACCUCUGGGCCUUUGUCCAGGACGUUCCCUCAGCGCUCAGUGCCCUUCCUGGUGGCCUCCUACAUCUUCAGAUCCCGGCUGAGCUCUGCUUAAAUCCGGGACCGGGUAGUCACUGGGGCAGCCACUUGGCUGGGGCGAGGCCACCUCGCUUUGGGUCUUGUCGCGCCCAGGCCAGCGCCAGCCCAGGCUUGCCAUGGACUGGCUCCUGGGCGUUAGAUGAAUGAAUCGAC